AAACUUAGGAUAAUAAUAAACCAAGGGCCUUCAAAGCCCAAAACAUAAGACAGACUCUUAUAGUUUCUGU
This 70-nucleotide transfer RNA is filed under the name Anolis hyacinthogularis (Blue dewlap anole). Its description in RNAcentral is "tRNA-Trp". It matches the Rfam family "tRNA". From Rfam's summary of the family: Transfer RNA (tRNA) molecules are approximately 80 nucleotides in length. Their secondary structure includes four short double-helical elements and three loops (D, anti-codon, and T loops). The record is from RNAcentral. Lineage: Eukaryota; Metazoa; Chordata; Lepidosauria; Squamata; Anolidae.